Long non-coding RNA from Oncorhynchus nerka (sockeye salmon), 1838 nucleotides. RefSeq lists it as uncharacterized. NCBI's taxonomy places the organism in Eukaryota, Metazoa, Chordata, Actinopteri, Salmoniformes, Salmonidae. The record is from RefSeq and is a predicted model, not a curated record. The transcript is spliced from 5 exons.
GAAUAUAGUACGUUCAUAUGGUUAGAAUGUGUGUAUAGGAAACCCUCGGACGUUUUUAAAACUGGUUAAAUCACGACUGUGGCUAUUACAUAACGUGCGUUACAUCGGAAAGCGCAGGAAAACCUGAUCACAGAAAAUGGAAAUAAAUAUCCUUGCGCCACUUCCAGCAAUUGUUAACAGUGAGCCGAAUUAGAUAAGACCGAGCAUUCAACUCCCACAGCAUCCCCAUGCAGUCGAGUAUCUUGUGAAUUUAAUCCUAUUUGAUUCUUGGUUGAACCGAAAGAGGGGCACGACGUACCUCCGGUCUCCGCCCAGAUCAUUCCGGAAGAGCUCUCUCCUGAAAUUUUUUCCAAGACGACAGCUAAUGAAUGUACAUCGCCUACGGAUGAUUUUUAUCGCUUAUUAACGUUUACUAAUACCUAAAGUAGCAUUACAAACGUAUUUCGAAGUGUUUUGUGAAAGUUUAUCGUCUACUUUUUGAAUUUUAAAAAAUGACGUUACGUUGUGAAUUCGCUGUUUUUUUCGUUUAUCACACAGUCUACAUAUAACGAUAUCUUAGCUUUAUAUGGCCCGAUUUAAUCGAAAUAAAGACCCAAUAGUGUUUAUGGGACAUCUAGGAGUGCCAACAAAGAAGAUGGUGAAAGGCAAUCAUAUCUAACUACGGGGGAAGGAUGGCCAGCCACACAGGAGGGUGAUUUUUAAUAAGGAGGUCAUCUUGAGUGACCGACGUCAUGAACGCUGGAACAAGGUAUAACGUACUUUCAGAUCACUGAAACAUCACCUGAUGUGCUGGAAGUUGUCGAACCAGAUCAGAACGACUUUGAAUACUACCUUCAGGCACGGACUAAGAUGUGGAGUUUUUUGACCAGGUGAGACUGAACCUGGACAAGGCUCAGGAGAAACAGAAGGAGAGUUACCGGAGCAGAAUCAAGAAGGGGACCAAGUGCUACGAUAUCCGGGUGAAUUACCUGGUUUGGAAGAAGGACGAAAGGAAGGCGAAACCUGGGAAACCACGCUGCUCUUUCGCUCCUAGCUGGGGUCACCAUCUGUUAAAGCGAAUAUAAAACAUGUCUUUGUCUUCCUAGGGUUACCUCAGUGGAAGCCAACAAUCUUCUACAGUUGGAGCAGUUGGACGGUCAACCACUGGAAGCACUGAUGGACUACACUUCAGUGAAGCCCAAUAGACAAAGACCAUUAUCUGUCCGAGCCCCCCAGGAGGUAUCCCGUCCACCAGAACCAGUGAGUUCAGAUCAGUCUGAUUCUCAGUACUCUGAGUCGGAAGGGGACCAGCUUGAGUUGGGCUCAGCCUGUCCCUCCCCCUCUCCAGCCUGCAGCCCUGGAGCCUUGGAGCUCUGCAGCCAUGGCUCACUGUACCCUCCCCUGUGCUGCAGUCACAAGCUGGGUGACCUCUCCUUGAUGGCAGGAUGCCUGGCAUGGAAAAAAACGACGGAGGGAAGGAGAAGGAGGGGGUUUGCUGCUGCACACCGCAGAUAAUGAAGCCAACCGAAGGGGAAAUCAAUUCCUCUGAAAAUGGCAUCUGGGCCGCACAGCACUGGAACGGCAGGAGGAGAAACACUAGGCAGGUUUCCAUUGCCCCAGGUUUAUUCGACAAAAGUAAUGUUGAAAUAAAAAUCUUUGUGACAUGUGUAAUGGAAACAGCAGAUAUAGGAGACAGACAACAUUUUUAUCCGUUGGACUGGGAUGGAUUUUCCUUUUGUCUAACUUUCUUUAUUGCAAAUGAUGAUGGAAACUUAAUUUUUUUGAAUAAAUGAUGGCUAUUGCUUCACCUUGCUUUUCUGGUUGACUGGAUGAAAGUUUCACCAUCCAAUUAUUUCAUA